UGGGGAAUAUUGGACAAUGGGCGAAAGCCUGAUCCAGCAACGCCGCGUGGAGGAUGAAGGCCUUCGGGUUGUAAACUCCUGUCAGGUGGGACGAAAAGGUUUCGGUUAAUACCCGGAAUCUCUGACGGUACCACCAGAGGAAGCCCCGGCUAACUCCGUGCCAGCAGCCGCGGUAAUACGGAGGGGGCGAGCGUUAUUCGGAAUUAUUGGGCGUAAAGGGCGCGUAGGCGGUCCGAUAAGUCAGGGGUGAAAUCCCUCGGCUCAACCGAGGAACUGCCCUUGAAACUGUCAGACUUGAGGCCGGGAGAGGGUGGUGGAAUUCCCAGUGUAGCGGUGAAAUGCGUAGAUAUUGGGAGGAACACCAGUGGCGAAGGCGGCCACCUGGACCGGUUCUGACGCUGAGGCGCGAAAGCGUGGGGAGCAAACAGGAUUAGAUACCCCCGUAGUCC
RNAcentral lists this ribosomal RNA (449 nucleotides) under uncultured prokaryote. Its description in RNAcentral is "bacterial SSU rRNA". It matches the Rfam family "Bacterial small subunit ribosomal RNA", at positions 355 to 796 of the family's 1533-position model. The record is from RNAcentral.